CAGCAGCCGCGGUAAUACGUAGGUGGCAAGCGUUAUCCGGAAUUAUUGUGCGUAAAGCGCGCGUAGGCGGUUUUUUAAGUCUGAUGUGAAAGCCCACGGCUCAACCGUGGAGGGUCAUUGGAAACUGGAAAACUUGAGUGCAGAAGAGGAAAGUGGAAUUCCAUGUGUAGCGGUGAAAUGCGCAGAGAUAUGGAGGAACACCAGUGGCGAAGGCGACCUUCUGGUCUGUAACUGACGCUCAUGCACGAAAGCGUGGGGAGCAAACAGGAUUAGAUACCCGCGUAGUCCCUGUCUCUUAUAA
RNAcentral lists this ribosomal RNA (301 nucleotides) under uncultured bacterium. Its description in RNAcentral is "partial 16S ribosomal RNA". It matches the Rfam family "Bacterial small subunit ribosomal RNA", at positions 509 to 809 of the family's 1533-position model. The record is from RNAcentral.